Molecule: long non-coding RNA, 2805 nt
Filed under: Homo sapiens (human)
Lineage: Eukaryota; Metazoa; Chordata; Mammalia; Primates; Hominidae
Description: HSALNT0385547
Source: RNAcentral
AGAAAGCAAGAGAGUCAGAUCUCCUGGGUGAUAGGCCAGAGAUAUGUCACAAUCCCUUCUGUUGACAGGUCCCAAACAAGGAGUUACAUCACCUGGGUGCUUGGCUCAGUGAUAUGUCACAAUGCCCAGUGUAGGCAGGGACAGGCAGGAGAGUCACAUUACCUGGGUGCUUGGCCCAGUGGUAUGUCACAAUCCCUUAUGUAGGGAGGGCACAGGUAGCAAAAGACUGUCACAUCAUCUAGUUGCUGGACUAGAGCUAUUGGUCUCUCGGUCGUUCAGGGAGAGGGUUAGGAUCUCCUUAGACAUCCAUGUAACAGAGCCCCAACUCAUCCGUGCUCAGAAGCAAAGGCCAGUGGAGACCAAAUAAGGCUUGAAAGGUAAGUCCCUUAAAAAGGCAGAAUGUCUUGGCCUUUGGCCUCUCCCCUUCAAGCACAACCAGAUCAUCACCUCUCUUCUGACUUCUCACUAUGCCCAGCACUGGAAAAAUGCUCUUGACUUCACCCCUUUGCUUCUCCACACCCCCUGCACUCUUACUGGGCAGACCAGAGACUAGGAGACCCAAACUCCAGCACGCACAGCCAGAGGAGAAGUGAAUCCAAAGUGGCUGGUGGCGGUGAGGCUUGAGCUCUCACAGGUGUCCCAGCCUAAAGCUGCAGGCCCAGGUUGUGGUUCAGGUGGCACUCGAUGCAGGUGCUGAGAUGCUGCUGAAAGGCCUGGAAUAGCCUCUGCGGCUGCCACUUCUUCCUUUUCUUAAGUGCUGAAAACGUGAACACUUUCCCAAGAUUUUCAGAUAUGCCCAGGUGCCCCCAGCUGAAGGUGGGGAUAAUGACAUUCUUCAGCAUGGUUUAUUGCCCAGGGAGCAACCAGCCCCAACCUCGCCACCCCAGCUGCCCCAGGCUGGAGGCGAUUCUGUCAAGCCUCUGCCCUGCAACUCCACUCCUUUUCUUCUUCCUCAACCACCAGCAUACUUUUGAUCAUCGUCCCUGUCGUCACAAUGGGGCGCCUGACACCAAGGAGACCCUGGAAACCCACUGAACUCAGGCCCUGCAGGGGUCAGGUGAACAUGUAGGAAGUCCAGGAGAAAAGUCAUCUGCCGUCUCCAGAAUGAACAGCAUUCCAGGAAGAACUCCCCCACACUCCAGGAAGAAGUCAUGAGCCCAGUGGGGAGGCAGGUCCAGCCUGCAACAACUUAGACAUAUGCGGUGCUCCAUAGCUCAUGCUUGUGUCCUGCAGGCAGGAGCACACAUCAGGGUCCGCAGUCUUUGUUCUGGGUGUGGAAUUAGUGCUUCAGCUGGUUCCCCAGGUGUCCCCAGAGGGGGAAAGGGUGGAAAAGGUAAGAAUCUUCAGCACAGCAGAUCGCCUUGCCCUGGCAGCGACCAGCCCUGCCCCUGAGGGGCACCAGCAGCCCCCAACUAGAGGCAGUCAUGUCAGGCCUCCUCCCUACAGCAACUCUCCUGCCUUUUUUUUUCUUUUUUUCACCGCCCUAACCCCCUACUUUUGGUCAUCCUCCUUGUCACAAUGGGGCACCUGCACUGUAGAGACUCUAGAAACACGCAGAUCUGGGGUCCUGCAGCGUCCAGGCUAACAUGCCAGGAAUCAGAGAGAAAAGUCCUCUGAAGCCUCCAGAAGGAAGGGAACAGGACCCGUCACUGCAGGAAGAAGUGGGGCACCCAGUGGCAGAUGGAGGCCCCACGCACUGCAGAGGUAAAUGUGUAAGGCGCUCCCUGGCCCGCGCCUGUUUCCUGGAUGCUGGAGUCCGUGACCAGGCCUGGGGUGGCCCUUCCACACACAGAAUAAGCUGUUGGGCUGGCUGCCUCACCCAGCACCCGGGCCGCGCCAGAGAGUAUCUCAGAUGCUGCUUUCCUGCCACCUCAGCGACCCCAGUAACACUUCUCCCACAGGGACUCCGCCGUGCCCAGCUCUCCAGCCUGGGGAUUCUCAUCACCCAGUGAUUCCAAAAGAAACGAUCUACAAUGUUAUGACCAAAUGCCAGAAACAAACAAACAAAAUAUCUGAGGGCAGUCCAUUGGUCACUUCCAUUUUUCAAAGGUGACAAUUGUCCCUCCUUGAAAUCUUGAGAGUGCAUGAACAGGCUAUUCUAAUAGAUGUGCAAUUUGCACUAAAACUGAUUGAAGAGCAAAUUCUGAUUCCAAGGUACUUUGUAUUCUCAAAUUGCCUCUGCUGCCCCUGGCCCCCUCAAAAUGGAAGAGUGAGGACUACUUGACAUCUUAGCACUGUGCGGACAUAGAGCCUUACAUGGAGGUGUGUCAAAAACGGCAUUCCAUAAAGGGCUGUCACUUCCAAUUUUCAAGCAAGGACCUGUCAGAAUCCCACCCUUCCUUCUGUCUCCCAUCGAAGUCCUCCAGGAAAUGCAGCUGUUUCAGUGACAGGGGGUGAUUGCCAUCUUCCAACUGAGGAGGAAUUUGGGGUUUUGGUCCAGUCCAUGAAGUGUGACACAGUCAGAAUAAAAGGUGAGGGCCUAACAGAUUAGCAGACGGUAGGAGAAGACUAUCUUGCAGCCAGCUUCAGAGAGCCUGUGGCCAUGGCUCCCAGGUCAACAUUAGGCCCUGUUGCCUGGGAACCCCUGGGCAGGCAGUGGGAAGGUUGAGGUGUGGCUCCUGGUAGCCUCAGAACUGCCACUAUUUCCUGAAGCUCCUACUUGUUCUGUCAGCUAAGCCCCCAUCCCAGUAGGCCAGCAACACCCUCAAGACCAAGAACAGGCCAUGGUGAAUCUCAGGGCCACUAAGUACCUGGGCUGGCAGGGGCAGAGUGCCUCAGGGCUCAGUGUUGUUUGGGCUGAGCAUG